CCAGACUCCUACGGGAGGCAGCAGUGAGGAAUAUUGGUCAAUGGGCGCGAGCCUGAACCAGCCAAGUCGCGUGAGGGAGGACGGCCCUACGGGUUGUAAACCUCUUUUGCCGGGGAGCAACGGGCGUCACGUGUGGCGUCACUGAGAGUACCCGGAGAAAAAGCAUCGGCUAACUCCGUGCCAGCAGCCGCGGUAAUACGGAGGAUGCGAGCGUUAUCCGGAUUUAUUGGGUUUAAAGGGUGCGUAGGCGGAUCGUUAAGUCAGUGGUCAAAUUGAGGGGCUCAACCCCUGCCCGCCAUCGAAACUGGCGAUCUUGAGUGGAAGAGAAGUAUGCGGAAUGCGUGGUGUAGCGGUGAAAUGCAUAGAUAUCACGCAGAACUCCGAUUGCGAAGGCAGCGCACCGGCGCCCUACUGACGCUCAGGCACGAAAGCGUGGGUAUCGAACAGGAUUAGAUACCCCCGUAAA
Molecule: ribosomal RNA, 466 nt
Filed under: uncultured bacterium
Lineage: Bacteria
Description: bacterial SSU rRNA
Rfam family: Bacterial small subunit ribosomal RNA
Source: RNAcentral